This 440-nucleotide ribosomal RNA is filed under the name uncultured bacterium. Its description in RNAcentral is "bacterial SSU rRNA". It matches the Rfam family "Bacterial small subunit ribosomal RNA", at positions 338 to 773 of the family's 1533-position model. The record is from RNAcentral.
CCUACGGGUGGCUGCAGUCGAGAAUCUUCCGCAAUGGGCGCAAGCCUGACGGAGCGACGCCGCGUGCGGGAUGAAGGCCUUCGGGUUGUAAACCGCUGUCAGUGGGGUGGAAAUCGGCAGGGGCACUCCCCUACCGUUGACCUAACCGCAGAGGAAGUCCGGGCUAAGUACGUGCCAGCAGCCGCGGUAAUACGUACCGGACGAACGUUAUUCGGAAUUACUGGGCUUAAAGAGUGCGUAGGCGGCUUUGAAGGUGGGGUGUGAAAGCCCACGGCUCAACCGUGGAAUGGCGCUCCAAACCGCAUGGCUUGAGGAAGACAGAGGUGAGCGGAACUGAUGGUGGAGCGGUGAAAUGCGUUGAUAUCAUCAGGAACACCCGUGGCGAAGGCGGCUCACUGGGUCUUAUCUGACGCUGAGGCACGAAAGCUAGGGGAGCGAAC